GCCUGGCUGGCUUAGACAGUAGAGCAUAUGACUCGAUAUCAGGGUUGUGAGUUUGAAUCUCAUGUUGGGUG
RNAcentral lists this transfer RNA (71 nucleotides) under Felis catus (domestic cat). It matches the Rfam family "tRNA". From Rfam's summary of the family: Transfer RNA (tRNA) molecules are approximately 80 nucleotides in length. Their secondary structure includes four short double-helical elements and three loops (D, anti-codon, and T loops). The record is from Rfam by way of RNAcentral. Lineage: Eukaryota; Metazoa; Chordata; Mammalia; Carnivora; Felidae.